CCCUUAGGUGUCCUGGGCCGCACGCGCGCUACACUGAUGCAUGCAACGAGUUUAUAACCUUGGCCUGAAAGGUCUGGGUAAUCUUUUGAACGUGCAUCGUGAUAGGGAUAGAUUAUUGCAAUUGUUAAUCUUGAACGAGGAAUUCCUAGUAAACGCGAGUCAUCAGCUCGCAUUGAUUACGUCCCUGCCCUUUGUACACACCGCCCGUCGCACCUACCGAUUGAAUGGUUCGGUGAAGAUCUCGGACUUCGAUAUUUAUUCUUUAUUGAGUUUAUAUUGUGGGAAGUUAUCUAAACCUCAUCAUUUAGAGGAAGGUGAAGUCGUAACA
Molecule: ribosomal RNA, 328 nt
Filed under: uncultured eukaryote
Lineage: Eukaryota
Description: partial 18S ribosomal RNA
Rfam family: Eukaryotic small subunit ribosomal RNA
Source: RNAcentral